This 467-nucleotide ribosomal RNA is filed under the name Staphylococcus aureus. RNAcentral's name for it is "partial 23S ribosomal RNA". It matches the Rfam family "Bacterial large subunit ribosomal RNA", at positions 2011 to 2477 of the family's 2925-position model. Lineage: Bacteria; Bacillati; Bacillota; Bacilli; Caryophanales; Staphylococcaceae. The record is from RNAcentral.
GGGCACUGUCUCAACGAGAGACUCGGUGAAAUCAUAGUACCUGUGAAGAUGCAGGUUACCCGCGACAGGACGGAAAGACCCCGUGGAGCUUUACUGUAGCCUGAUAUUGAAAUUCGGCACAGCUUGUACAGGAUAGGUAGGAGCCUUUGAAACGUGAGCGCUAGCUUACGUGGAGGCGCUGGUGGGAUACUACCCUAGCUGUGUUGGCUUUCUAACCCGCACCACUUAUCGUGGUGGGAGACAGUGUCAGGCGGGCAGUUUGACUGGGGCGGUCGCCUCCUAAAAGGUAACGGAGGCGCUCAAAGGUUCCCUCAGAAUGGUUGGAAAUCAUUCAUAGAGUGUAAAGGCAUAAGGGAGCUUGACUGCGAGACCUACAAGUCGAGCAGGGUCGAAAGACGGACUUAGUGAUCCGGUGGUUCCGCAUGGAAGGGCCAUCGCUCAACGGAUAAAAGCUACCCCGGGGAUAA